AGGUAAGUAGAUAACAUCAAACACAGUUGCACUGCACAGAACAAGACUAAUAAACAGCUUGCAGAUUUAAUGUUUGGAACUUCUAAUUCCCAUUUCUACUGCUAACAGGUUUGUAUUUUAUGUGCUUCCAAAGGAAAAACAAAAGAGUAUAGACAUUGAAAGCAUUGCAUACUGCUGAAUCUUAGUCUAGGGUCAACUUUUCGGCCCUAAGUUGAUGCACUUGUUCAGUAUCUAAAGGUAAGCAUCUGAUAUCAUGCAUGUAAAAGUAAAUACUUUGGUCAAAGUUUAGUAAAAUAAGAGUAACUUUCAAUAAAAGGAAAUCUUUGUUAUCCAUAUGUUCAGUGACUAAAGUUACUUGAAGCAAAGCUUAGCCAAACUUGAGGUAAUAAUUAACUCAUAGCUUUAUUGAAGCAGCCUAAGCAACUAAAGAGACAAUAAUGAAACAUAAGAUAAUAAGCACAAUACUGCUUCUCAUUUGUAAAGGCUAGGAAUGGGAGUCGUAUGAAUAAAUGAGACCUUACCAAGUAGCAAAGAAGUCAACCAAUACUGGUCUAAAUUCUCUAACACAUCAACAAAAGAAGAUAAUGUUUGUUGUUUCGCUUCAACCUGAUUAUAAACACAUUAAUUGGACUUAAAAUACAAAAUUUAUCAAAGUAAGAUACAGGGGAAGCUCAAACAUGUUGGCUCCACCUCUCUCUCAAGCAUUUCAUCAGACAUUUGUCUACAUUUAUCACACUCACCCUUCUUAAACCACAAUUUCAUCAUAAUGUUAAAGGAAACAGAGUAGAAUCUAAAACCCAAUUUAUGACCAUCCCUAAAGAGCUCAGUUGCAUCAAUGACUCAAUCAUUAUCAACCAAAACAUUCAAAAUCAUAUUACGAAACAAAAAAUCAGAAAUCUUGAAAUCCAUAACAAAAAAAAACGCAUUUUCACUCACCCGAAAGUUGGAAAAACGAAGCAACAGAAAAGCGUGCAAUGUUGGUGGGGAUUAUGUCGAUAAUUUUUGGGUCACCAUCGCCGGUACUCCAAAAACGUGAGCAAUUCGACCGUGAGAAAUGGGAAUGGAGAGUGCGGUGACAAGAAAGAGAGAGGGAAAUAGGGUUUGGCGAAAAUGGGAUUGUUUCACAGUCAAUGCCUGGAAAAUGAAAAACCAGCAUACCUAUAGGAAUUGAAAUUCCUCAGUUUGGUGGAAUUGGAGGGUCACGUGACUGAAAGUGAGAAAAACAAUUCCCUGGAAAAAUUUACCUAUCAAACAGCCUUACAUUUGGAAAAAGUGGAAAAAAUAUCAUUUUCCCUGGAAAAAACUGCCUAUCAAAUAGGCGCUAAGAGUGUGUUUG
RNAcentral lists this long non-coding RNA (1336 nucleotides) under Olea europaea subsp. europaea. The record is from RNAcentral. Lineage: Eukaryota; Viridiplantae; Streptophyta; Magnoliopsida; Lamiales; Oleaceae.